CGCGUGUACUGGUCCGGCCGGGCCUUUCCUUCUGGGGAACCUCAUGCCCUUCACUGGGCGUGUUGGGGAACCAGGACUUUUACUUUGAAAAAAUUAGAGUGUUCAAAGCAGGCCUUUGCUCGAAUACAUUAGCAUGGAAUAAUAGAAUAGGACGUGUGGUUCUAUUUUGUUGGUUUCUAGGACCGCCGUAAUGAUUAAUAGGGAUAGUCGGGGGCAUCAGUAUUCAAUCGUGAGAGGUGAAAUUCUUGGAUUGAUUGAAGACUAACUACUGCGAAAGCAUUUGCCAAGGAUGUUUUCAUUAAUCAGUGAACGAAAGUUAGGGGAUCGAAGACGAUCAGAUACCGUCGUAGUCUUAACCAUAAACUAUGCCGACUAGGGAUCGGACGGUGUUAGUAUUUUGACCCGUUCGGCACCUUACGAGAAAUCAAAGUUUUUGGGUUCUGGGGGGAGUAUGGUCGCAAGGCUGAAACUUAAAGAAAUUGACGGAAGGGCACCACCAGGCGUGGAGCCUGCGGCUUAAUUUUGACUCAACACGGGGAAACUCACCAGGUCCAGACACAAUAAGGAUUGACAGAUUGAGAGCUCUUUCUUGAUUUUGUGGGUGGUGGUGCAUGGCCGUUCUUAGUUGGUGGAGUGAUUUGUCUGCUUAAUUGCGAUAACGAACGAGACCUUAACCUGCUAAAUAGCCAGGCCCGCUUUGGCGGGUCGCCGGCUUCUUAGAGGGACUAUCGG
RNAcentral lists this ribosomal RNA (732 nucleotides) under uncultured eukaryote. RNAcentral's name for it is "SSU rRNA". It matches the Rfam family "Eukaryotic small subunit ribosomal RNA", at positions 670 to 1426 of the family's 1831-position model. The record is from RNAcentral.